GGCUGAGCAUGGCUGUCAUUUCUGGAGUCUUUCUGCUGAGGCCAUUUCUCCUGUGACCAUGGGCUAAAGGGCACAGCCGCGUGCCCCCACAGCUGCUUCUGAAUUCUGAGCACAGGCCAGAGGAGGGGAAGGGCCGGAUGUUUGCAGAAGCAGAGCCGACCCUUGGGUAAAAAUGGGAAAACAAAAAGUGGUCAGGAUGGAUUCCAGAGUAGUUGGAGUUAUAGGGAAAUCUUCACUGCCAAUGUUCUCUAGAUCCUCAGCACUACGCCCUGGCCAGCCCCGAAGUCGUGGAGCCCCCCUCCUGCCCUGGGCUGGCCACCUCUCUCACUGGAUGAGUGAUGUGCUCUGGCUCAAAGGCUGAGGGGGCAGGUGGAGGAUGCCUGCCGCGGAACGUGGGUGCUCCCUCCAUCAGAAUCUUCUCACUGGGAGAGGAUCUGCGGCCGUCACCUGCAGCCCCGGUCCUGGCAGAGCUUUUGGAGAAAAUGAUGCAGAGUCUUGCUAUGUUGCCCAGACUGAUCUUGGACCCCUGAUCUCAAGCGAUCCUCCCACCUUGGCCUUCCAAAGUGCUGGUAUUAUAGGCAUGAGCCACUACACUUGGACCCAAACAGGUCUUCGCUGAAACAUGGGCACUCGUGGGAAGUGCUUUCUGUUCCCCAGGCUCAGAGACAGGUCUCCCUAUGGUGUUGCCCAGGCUGGUCUUGAACUCCUAGCCUCAAGUGAUCCUCCUGCUUCAGCCUGCCAAAGUGCUGGAUUACAGGUGUAAGCCACCUCUGGACAUCUUAUCUGUGAAAUUUUAGGCAUUGAUCAGUGCAGAAAGAACCAUGAACUGCAGGAUGUUCUCAGAGACUCUGACAUUAUGGCCCACAAGAAGCUGCCCACUCAGCUUCUAGUCAGUUAGGUGUGGACUUCAUCAAUCACAGAAUGAAGACUCAGACAGCCUCCCAGGAGGACACAAAGUCAGCCUCAGAGAGGCAUGGAGGUGUUAAAGAGGGAAGUGCCUGCUAGAAUUUCAGUGGGUUGGAUAUGCUCUUUAACGAUGCACAAAUCAUAGGUAUACAUUUUCUGACAAUUGGAAUCUAUUAUUACUCUUGAACCAGCUGUUCCCCAGGCUGUUUCCUGUAAUGGAAGGGAUACUUUGAGUUUAUAUCUUUUCAAUCCUACAUCCUCAGAAAUCUACACUGAUACUAAUAAAGGGACUCAUUUCUCCUAUAAGAACCCCUAUGCGAGAAAAGUAUGUUUGGGUAUUGCCUAAUGCACUCAUAAUAAAUAUACACAGCCAUAAAACAGAGUAAAA
Homo sapiens (human) is the source of this 1294-nucleotide long non-coding RNA. Ensembl annotates it as long intergenic non-protein coding RNA 2664. The record is from Ensembl. NCBI's taxonomy places the organism in Eukaryota, Metazoa, Chordata, Mammalia, Primates, Hominidae.